This 388-nucleotide unclassified non-coding RNA is filed under the name fungal sp. Its description in RNAcentral is "partial internal transcribed spacer region". The stretch from base 1 to 46 matches the Rfam family "Eukaryotic small subunit ribosomal RNA", at positions 1786 to 1831 of the family's 1831-position model. The record is from RNAcentral. Lineage: Eukaryota; Fungi.
AAGUCGUAACAAGGUUUCCGUAGGUGAACCUGCGGAAGGAUCAUUAACACGUCUAAACAACGUAUAACCAAACGCGAACUGUUUCGUUCCCGGGUUAGUUCUGAGUGACAUGUGAUUGAACGGUGUGAGAUUUAUUUCUCUUGAUCAUAUGUUAGUUGAUUAGUGUAAAAGCUAAUUGACAACUUGGAGCUAGCUGCGGUAGAUGAGUUUCGGCUGCAGGACCACACCCUGCCACUGCAGUUGAAGCGCCCCACUUUUUUCUUAUUUCUUACUGAUGUUGUACGUUUGCAUAUGAAUUCCUGGUUGUAUCAAUGCAAUUGGUUGAGUUCUAUGUAGAUGUCAUUUAUUCAAUAAUAAACAACUCUUAGCAACGGAUAUCUUGGUUCUC